Quercus lobata is the source of this 3209-nucleotide long non-coding RNA. RefSeq lists it as uncharacterized. NCBI's taxonomy places the organism in Eukaryota, Viridiplantae, Streptophyta, Magnoliopsida, Fagales, Fagaceae. The transcript is spliced from 8 exons. The record is from RefSeq and is a predicted model, not a curated record.
UAAUGUGCAAGGUUAGUACCUCUGAUGUUUUGGAACGUAUCAAUAACCUUUGUGCUCUUGAAUAGUUCAAGGCCUCUGUGUAGACACAAUUGUUGGUAUGCAAAAGGUUAAUUUUCUUCCAUGCUUCAGAGGAGGAUUUGGAGCUUUUUUGUGGAUCUAUAGGGGAGGUUACAGAGGUUCGGAUUGUGAAAGGCAAAGAUUCUGGUGAGAACAAGGGCUUUGCAUUUGUGACCUUUAGAAGUGCAGAAUUAACUUCUAAAGCCUUUGAUGAGCUGAAUAACACUGAAUUCAAUGUAACAUAGUCUUUUGUGCAUCAUUUAUUAUUGCCUUUUUCCCCGCAUAGGCUGAGGACUUAACGGCAAGUUGAAUAUUGAAUUUGAUGUAAAAUUAUUAUUGUUAGCUAAAAGAUUAAUGUGAGUAUUCCUUAGAGCUUUUUUAAGGUUUCUAUUAUUAUUAUUGUGGCCGUUUGCUGUUAUUUAUGAAUGCUGCAAUUGUUGAAUGCUUUUGUGUAAACUCUUUCUCUCCUGGUUAAAAAAAUAAAAUGUUCAACAUCACAAGCAAAGCACCGUUUGUUCAUUGGUAAUGUUCCUAGAAGCUGGGGAGAGCAGGAUCUAAGGAAGGUUGUCCUGGAGGUUGGGCCUGGAGUUAUACUGCUGUUGAACUUAUUAAGGUCAGUGUGAACUAGUUAUACGUCUUUAGGGUAGUUAUCAUUAAUAGUUGAGAUCGUUUAUUUCUUUUUUGUUUAUUUUCAGAACUCCCAGUGCCUUUAAAAAAUUUAUGUUUUACCACAGCCAGUGGUUUAGUUUUUUUGUGCCAAUUACAAGUGUUUUGUACUCAAUUUAUUAAACUCUUGGUCAUAGGAUGCUAAGAAUCCGAGCAAUAAUCGGGGCUUUGCUUUUGUUGACUACCAUAACCAUGCAUGUGCCAAGUAUUCAAGGUAGAAGGUGAUGAAUCCAAAAUUUAAGUUAGGUGAUAAUGCCCCAACUGUGAGCUGGGCUGACCCUAAAAAUGCUGACUCUUCUACUGCUUCAAAAGCCUUGUAAAUUUUUUACUUUGUUUAUAAAAAAUUUAUAGCUUCCUGUCCACACUUGAGGACCAACUAUAGUUAAACUAAUUGGAAUUGAGCCAGAAAUUUUUUUUUUUUUUUUUGGGAGGUGGGGCGCCCCCGAGGGGGGGGGGGGGACAUUAGUAAAAUUAUUUAUAUAAUAAGAAUAAUUCUUCAAUCCUUCAUUGAAGAAUUAAACAUUUGAUGCUUGACCCCUUUAUGGAACACAUAAAGACUGAAGAGUUUAUGAAAUAGUUUAUACUUUCUAAAUCAAGUACCAAAAAAACAUUCUUUAACCAUUUCAAGUACUGUUUUAGAACAUGCAAUAAGAAUUUAAAAUCAUCUAAGUUUAAACAAUUUUAAACAGUGCAAACAUUGUAGAAAUCUUAGUUAAAAACUCAUUUUUUCACUAGAGAUGGUUUAGUUCCAAACAUCAUCUUGCCAAGAGUCUUGUAGCUUAGUGGCAUUGCUUGGUCUUCUUCAUAAGGAGAACCAAGGUUCAAAUCCUCCCUCCCCCACUAAUUGUAACAAUUGAAAUUUUUAUUAAAUUUUUAAAGUUCAUAAAAUCAUCUUAAAAUAUGGGAGAGCGGUUAAAACAUCGUUUGAAUUUCAAAUUUUCAUAUUCAAGACUAAAAAGAUUAUUUUGAAAUAAUAUAAAAAUCAUGGAGUUUAAGGCGUCGACUUCUAAGAACCUAAUAAGCAUACAUGUGCAUAUCAUGCAUAGUCACAACUGCUCACAAAGCCUCCACAAGUAUGUGUGUGUGUGUAUUUGAUAAGUCAAAACCUCCCCAAAUAUAGUUUUGAGCAUUCUUGUAUGUAGUCUCAUAGUGGAAGCUAAGAACUUCCCUUAUAGAACUUUUAAUUGUCCAACUUCAACUCCUAAAACACAUGCAUCAAAACAAUCUAAUAACCACCUUAGAAUCCUCUAAUUUGUUUUAUCUGUACCACUUUUAGACUUACCUGUUGAUAUUUAAGCUUUUCUGGGUACAAAAAUUAAAAAUAUCAAUUUAUCAAAUUAGGGAUGACAUCCCUGGGGAGGUACAUUUUAAGCUUUGAAAAAUAAUCAAUUUUGGUGGUUACUAGCAGGUAGCUUUUCAACCUUAAACCUGGUUUUUACAAAAUAAGCUUUUCAUAUUGAAUUUGCCCUUCUUUGUGAAAGCUGUCUCUGUAAUGCUGAAUAUUCACAAAUAACCAGAAAUGCUAAAAGUAUCGUAAAAGUUAAAUAAAUUCUUGGGCCUUGGUCUAAUUUUUGAAGUGGUUUUCAGAAGUGAUUUGUUAAGAGAAGACAAUACCAUAUCAAGGUUCUUAUGAUGAAGAAGGAACUUGAAAAGGAUCCAGCACUUGCACACGAAAACUGGGAUAGGUUUCUUCCGAAAUUCAAGAAGAAGAAUGUCAAACAAAAGAAGGUUAAGACUAAAAGAGAAGAAAACAUAUACACCUUUCCCUCCUCCACAACAACCUAGCAAGAAUUCAUCAUGACUCUGAAAAAGAAAUCAUCAAAGAAGUGGCAAGAGAAACAGGAGAAGCAGAUAGAGAAAACCACAGAAAACAAAGAAAAAGAGAUUCUGCAUUUAUUCCCCUAGAGGUUGUAUUCUAAGGCGCUUUAUACUCAAUCAUCUUCAUUCUAUUGCUGAUGAACUUCAAGUCAAAUAGCUCCUCUUAGUGUUUCCAACAGAGAAAUCCAAGGAACCAAGAAAGAUGGAUACAAAAUCUGAGGAUGAUAAUAAAGAUAUGGGCCAUAUGGUAGCCAAGGCCAUGUCUCUGAAGAAAAAGGCAGAGGAGUUUGGGAAGCAAAAAUCGGUUGAGAAUGUUGAAACUGAAGCCUAUAUUGCUACAGCUGGGGAACCUUCAAAAAAGAAAUCCAAGGGUGCAGAAUCUAGAGCGUGAUGAAUGUUAAUGCAGAAGCUUAUAUUGCAGCCUUGACAGUCUUAUACUGCAACCAAGCUUGUAUCCAUGGUUCUUAGAUGUUGAUAACAAUGAAUCAGGCUUUAAAUUUUGCUGUGUAUGAGAACCCAUUUAUUGAAGAAGAAAAUCCCCUUCAAGCCCUAACAUUUAUGGGGAAUAGAGAGAGCAUCAGGACCCAUUUCUUUGAACUUUUCAAUAACAAACCUACAUUUUAAAUUUCUGGGGCCACGAUCAUCAGAUUCAAAGAGGAGGAGGAGGA